Molecule: long non-coding RNA, 328 nt
Filed under: Pan troglodytes (chimpanzee)
Lineage: Eukaryota; Metazoa; Chordata; Mammalia; Primates; Hominidae
Description: long non-coding RNA NONPTRT003833
Source: RNAcentral
CGGGAGUGCACGUUUGCGCAUGCGUCUGGCUCAUCAUUUUCAGCGCGCAAAAGUUUCAAAACUUUCCGCCUAGUGAGAGGCGGUCCGAUUUGGCCCUUGGGGAGUGUCCGUCGCGUUGAUCUGAUGGAUUCACGUACACAACACCACAUUCUAUGAGAUUUUGCAGGCAAAAGUCCACAAGCUCGAUAUAUGGGACACCUGCACCGGCAUUGGAUUUGGCCCCGCAACAUCUUAAAGGUACCACCCAACACCUGAAGUGUCUGCCUCCUUCCGAUGGAGCCUCCUGGCCCCUCCCACCUCUCACCAGCUUUACCCUUUAGCCAGAAUG